Molecule: unclassified non-coding RNA, 343 nt
Filed under: soil metagenome
Description: partial contains 5.8S ribosomal RNA, internal transcribed spacer 2, and large subunit ribosomal RNA
Rfam family: 5.8S ribosomal RNA (bases 1-120)
Source: RNAcentral
GAUGAAGAACGCAGUGAAAUGCAAUAAGUAAUGUGAAUUGCAGAAUCCAGUGAAUCAUCGAAUCUUUGAACGCACAUUGCGCCCGCCAGCAUUCUGGCGGGCAUGCCUGUUCGAGCGUCAUUUCAACCCUCGACCUCCCUUUGGGGAAGUCGGCGUUGGGGACCGGCAGCACACCGCCGGCCCUGAAAUGGAGUGGCGGCCCGUCCGCGGCGACCUCUGCGUAGUAAACCAACUCGCACCGGAACCCCGACGUGGCCACGCCGUAAAACACCCAACUUCUGAACGUUGACCUCGAAUCAGGUAGGACUACCCGCUGAACUUAAGCAUAUCAAUAAGCGGAGGA